This 547-nucleotide long non-coding RNA is filed under the name Chrysolophus pictus (golden pheasant). RNAcentral describes it as "lncRNA (ENSCPIG00010001235.1)". Lineage: Eukaryota; Metazoa; Chordata; Aves; Galliformes; Phasianidae. The record is from RNAcentral.
UGGAGGGCAGUGGGAAUGCCACUGCAGCACCUGCUUCAGUCUGUGGUAGCAGAAGACCUCUUCUUUUGGUGGGAGUCCUCAAACGGGCCAUGAAGGUUUGAUUAGCUGUUGGAUCAGGGUGAAGGUCUGGCCCCAGAGCUCUUAGGUCACAGUGCUGUGGAUAAAUACAACUCAUCCCUGCCCAGUCACAGUUGCAGAGACCUACUGCAGAAAAUGGAACCAGAAAGAUCUGGAGACACACACUGGGAGAAAUCCUCUUUAAUACAGUGCUUCAAAUUGAAUGCCUGCAGUGCUACAUGGCAAAUUUAAAGCUAAAAUCCACACCUCAUUAACAACGAAUCCUGAUGAGUAAGUUAAGUAGAAGAAACAUCAAUAAUUUAUGGCGAUGAACUCAGCAUUUUCUCUCUCCUUUUUUUCUUUUUGUGUUGCAUCUGUCUUUGGAAGCCUCUAGUAUGUUACAAAUGAAGUGCCAGAGAUGAGCUAGAAAGAAAAAAGCUAGGAGCUUUUCCAGGGAGACAGAGAAUAAAUACAGACCUCCACAAAUGCA